RNAcentral lists this unclassified non-coding RNA (141 nucleotides) under uncultured Tremellales. RNAcentral's name for it is "sequence contains ITS2". RNAcentral also lists the same sequence under 1 other name. Lineage: Eukaryota; Fungi; Basidiomycota; Tremellomycetes; Tremellales. The record is from RNAcentral.
AACCUCACCCCAACCGGGUUUUUGCCCGGCUGGCGGUGGAUUGGGCGUCUGCCAAUUUACUGGCUCGCCUCAAAAGCAUAAGCGCCUUGGAUGUAAUACGUUUCAUCCUCUCGGGUGGCUGACAACCCCACAUAUCUCAUG